Molecule: ribosomal RNA, 418 nt
Filed under: uncultured Pseudomonas sp.
Lineage: Bacteria; Pseudomonadati; Pseudomonadota; Gammaproteobacteria; Pseudomonadales; Pseudomonadaceae
Description: bacterial SSU rRNA
Rfam family: Bacterial small subunit ribosomal RNA
Source: RNAcentral
GAACCUUACCAGGCCUUGACAUGCAGAGAACUUUCCAGAGAUGGAUUGGUGCCUUCGGGAACUCUGACACAGGUGCUGCAUGGCUGUCGUCAGCUCGUGUCGUGAGAUGCUGGGUUAAGUCCCGUAACGAGCACAACCCUUGUCCUUAGUUACCAGCACGUUAUGGUGGGCACUCUAAGGAGACUGCCGGUGACAAACCGGAGGAAGGUGGGGAUGACGUCAAGUCAUCAUGGCCCUUACGGCCUGGGCUACACACGUGCUACAAUGGUCGGGUACAAAGGGUUGCCAAGCCGCGAGGUGGAGCUAAUCCCAUAAAACCGAUCGUAGUCCGGAUCGCAGUCUGCAACUCGACUGCGUGAAGUCGGAAUCGCUAGUAAUCGUGAAUCAGAAUGUCACGGUGAAUACGUUCCCGGGCCUU